This 460-nucleotide ribosomal RNA is filed under the name uncultured bacterium. RNAcentral describes it as "partial 16S ribosomal RNA". It matches the Rfam family "Bacterial small subunit ribosomal RNA", at positions 338 to 795 of the family's 1533-position model. The record is from RNAcentral.
GCUACGGGUGGCAGCAGUGAGGAAUAUUGGUCAAUGGGCUUACGCCUGAACCAGCCAAGUCGCGUGAGGGAAGACUGCCCUAUGGGUUGUAAACCUCUUUUGUCAGGGAGCAACGCCGGCUACGUGUGGCGGGAAGGAGAGUACCCGAAGAAAAAGCAUCGGCUAACUCCGUGCCAGCAGCCGCGGUAAUACGGAGGAUGCGAGCGUUAUCCGGAGUUAUUGGGUUUAAAGGGUGCGUAGGCGGAAGGUUAAGUCAGCGGUCAAAUGUCGGUGCUCAACACCGGCCUGCCGUUGAAACUGGUCUUCUUGAGUGAGCGAGAAGUAUGCGGAAUGCGUGGUGUAGCGGUGAAAUGCAUAGAUAUCACGCAGAACUCCGAUUGCGAAGGCAGCAUACCGGCGCUCAACUGACGCUGAGGCACGAAAGCGUGGGGAUCGAACAGGAUUAGAUACCCGGGUAGUC